AGGUGGCGCCAAGUCCAUAAAGUUCGGUACUCAGUUCAGAUUGUAGGCUGCAACCCGCCUGCAUGAAGAUGGAGUUGCUAGUAACCGCAGGUCAGCUAUACUGCGGUGAAUACGUUCCCGGGGCUU
This 126-nucleotide ribosomal RNA is filed under the name uncultured Leptolinea sp. RNAcentral's name for it is "partial 16S ribosomal RNA". It matches the Rfam family "Bacterial small subunit ribosomal RNA", at positions 1260 to 1382 of the family's 1533-position model. The record is from RNAcentral. Lineage: Bacteria; Bacillati; Chloroflexota; Anaerolineae; Anaerolineales; Anaerolineaceae.